AUAAUACUACCUCCGUCCCAAAAUUCUUGUCUUAGUUUUAUCUAGAAAUGGAUGUAUCUAAAUACUAAUACAUGAUUAGAUACAUUCAUAUUUAGACAAACCAAAGACAAGAAUUUUGGGAUGGCGGGAGUAUAAA
Hordeum vulgare subsp. vulgare (domesticated barley) is the source of this 136-nucleotide non-coding RNA. The record is from Rfam. NCBI's taxonomy places the organism in Eukaryota, Viridiplantae, Streptophyta, Magnoliopsida, Poales, Poaceae.